RNAcentral lists this ribosomal RNA (433 nucleotides) under uncultured bacterium. RNAcentral's name for it is "partial 16S ribosomal RNA". It matches the Rfam family "Bacterial small subunit ribosomal RNA", at positions 29 to 507 of the family's 1533-position model. The record is from RNAcentral.
AACGAACGCUGGCGGCAUGCCUAACACAUGCAAGUCGAACGAGACCUUCGGGUCUAGUGGUGCACGGGUGCGUAACGCGUGGGAACCUGCCCUUAGGUUCGGAAUAACUCCCCGAAAGGGGUGCUAAUAUCGGAUAAUGUCUUCGGACCAAAGAUUUAUCGCCUUUGGAUGGGCCCGCGUUGGAUUAGCUAGUUGGUAGGGUAAAAGCCUACCAAGGCGACGAUCCAUAGCUGGUCUGAGAGGAUGAUCAGCCACACUGGGACUGAGACACGGCCCAGACUCCUACGGGAGGCAGCAGUGAGGAAUAUUGGACAAUGGGCGAAAGCCUGAUGCAGCAAUGCCGAGUGAGUGAUGAAGGCCUUAGGGUUGUAUAGCUCUUUUACCCGGGAUGAUAAUGACAGUACCGGGGGAAUAAGCUCCGGCUAACUCCGUG